RNAcentral lists this ribosomal RNA (531 nucleotides) under uncultured bacterium. RNAcentral describes it as "bacterial SSU rRNA". It matches the Rfam family "Bacterial small subunit ribosomal RNA", at positions 777 to 1304 of the family's 1533-position model. The record is from RNAcentral.
AAUAGAUACCCGGGUAGUCCACGCCGUAAACGAUGAGUGCUAAGUGUUAGAGGGUUUCCACCCUUUAGUGCUGCAGCUAACGCAUUAAGCACUCCGCCUGGGGAGUACGGUCGCAAGACUGAAACUCAAAGGAAUUGACGGGGGCCCGCACAAGCGGUGGAGCAUGUGGUUUAAUUCGAAGCAACGCGAAGAACCUUACCAGGUCUUGACAUCCUCUGACAACUCUAGAGAUAGAGCGUUCCCCCUUCGGGGGACAGAGUGACAGGUGGUGCAUGGUUGUCGUCAGCUCGUGUCGUGAGAUGUUGGGUUAAGUCCCGCAACGAGCGCAACCCUUGAUCUUAGUUGCCAGCAUUUAGUUGGGCACUCUAAGGUGACUGCCGGUGACAAACCGGAGGAAGGUGGGGAUGACGUCAAAUCAUCAUGCCCCUUAUGACCUGGGCUACACACGUGCUACAAUGGAUGGUACAAAGGGCUGCAAGACCGCGAGGUCAAGCCAAUCCCAUAAAACCCAUUCUCAGUUCGGAUUGUAGG